AGAGUUUGAUCCUGGCUCAGAACGAACGCUGGCGGCGUGCCUAACACAUGCAAGUCGAGCGCGAACUCCCCUUCGGGGGUUAGUAGAGCGGCGCACGGGUGAGUAACACGUGGCUAACCUACCCUUUAGUCUGGGAUAACCCGGGGAAACUCGAGCUAAUACCGGAUACGUUCCACGGAGGAAAGUGGGGGCUCUCUUCGGAGACCUCACGCUGAAGGAUGGGGCCGCGGUCCAUCAGGUAGUUGGUGGGGUAAUGGCCUACCAAGCCGAAGACGGAUAGCUGGUCUGAGAGGAUGAUCAGCCACACUGGAACUGAGACACGGUCCAGACUCCUACGGGAGGCAGCAGUGGGGAAUCUUGCGCAAUGGGGGAAACCCUGACGCAGCAACGCCGUGUGUGCGAUGAAGGCCCUCGGGUCGUAAAGCACUGUCAGUGGGGAAGAUGGUGUCUCUUCUUAAUAUGGGGAGGCGCUGACGGUACCCACGGAGGAAGCACCGGCUAACUCUGUGCCAGCAGCCGCGGUAAUACAGAGGGUGCAAGCGUUGUUCGGAAUUAUUGGGCGUAAAGCGCGCGUAGGCGGCCAUUCAAGUCGGAUGUGAAAGCCCGGA
This 608-nucleotide ribosomal RNA is filed under the name uncultured bacterium. RNAcentral describes it as "bacterial SSU rRNA". It matches the Rfam family "Bacterial small subunit ribosomal RNA", at positions 8 to 606 of the family's 1533-position model. The record is from RNAcentral.